RNAcentral lists this unclassified non-coding RNA (336 nucleotides) under soil metagenome. RNAcentral's name for it is "partial contains 5.8S ribosomal RNA, internal transcribed spacer 2, and large subunit ribosomal RNA". The stretch from base 2 to 119 matches the Rfam family "5.8S ribosomal RNA", at positions 37 to 154 of the family's 154-position model. The record is from RNAcentral.
GUGAAGAACGCAGCGAAAUGCGAUAAGUAGUGUGAAUUGCAGAAUUCAGUGAAUCAUCGAAUCUUUGAACGCACAUUGCGCCCCUUGGUAUUCCAUGGGGCAUGCCUGUUCGAGCGUCAUUUGUACCUUCAAGCUCUGCUUGGUGUUGGGUGUUUGUCUCGCCUCUGCGUGUAGACUCGCCUCAAAAUAAUUGGCAGCCGGCGUAUUGAUUUCGGAGCGCAGUACAUCUCGCGCUUUGCACUCAUAACGACGACGUCCAAAAGUACAUUUUUACACUCUUGACCUCGGAUCAGGUAGGGAUACCCGCUGAACUUAAGCAUAUCAAUAAGCGGAGGA